UGGGGAAUAUUGGGCAAUGGGCGAAAGCCUGACCCAGCAACGCCGCGUGGAGGAAGAAGGUUUUCGGAUCGUAAACUCCUGUCCUCAGGGAAGAGAAGGAGACGGUACCUGAGGAGGAAGCCCCGGCUAACUGCGUGCCAGCAGCCGCGGUAAUACGUAGGGGGCAAGCGUUGUCCGGAAUGAUUGGGCGUAAAGGGCGCGUAGGCGGCCCGGUAAGUCUGGAGUGAAAGGCGGGGGCUCAACCCCUGGACUGCAUUGGAAACUGUUAGUCUUGAGUGCCGGAGAGGUAAGCGGAAUUCCUAGUGUAGCGGUGAAAUGCGUAGAUAUUAGGAGGAACACCAGUGGCGAAGGCGGCUUACUGGACGGUAACUGACGUUGAGGCUCGAAAGCGUGGGGAGCAAACAGGAUUAGAUACCCUGGUAGU
This 424-nucleotide ribosomal RNA is filed under the name uncultured Lachnospiraceae bacterium. Its description in RNAcentral is "bacterial SSU rRNA". It matches the Rfam family "Bacterial small subunit ribosomal RNA", at positions 355 to 794 of the family's 1533-position model. Lineage: Bacteria; Bacillati; Bacillota; Clostridia; Lachnospirales; Lachnospiraceae. The record is from RNAcentral.